UCUCUGGUGGUCCAGUGGCUAAGACUGCAUUACUAAUGCAGAGGGCCCAGGUUCAACCCCUGGUCAGAGAA
This 71-nucleotide transfer RNA is filed under the name Bos taurus (domestic cattle). It matches the Rfam family "tRNA". Rfam says of the family: Transfer RNA (tRNA) molecules are approximately 80 nucleotides in length. Their secondary structure includes four short double-helical elements and three loops (D, anti-codon, and T loops). RNAcentral also lists the same sequence under 3 other names. Lineage: Eukaryota; Metazoa; Chordata; Mammalia; Artiodactyla; Bovidae. The record is from Rfam by way of RNAcentral.